This 241-nucleotide ribosomal RNA is filed under the name uncultured bacterium. RNAcentral describes it as "partial 16S ribosomal RNA". It matches the Rfam family "Bacterial small subunit ribosomal RNA", at positions 15 to 252 of the family's 1533-position model. The record is from RNAcentral.
GAUCUGGCUCAGGACGAACGCUGGCGGCGCGCCUAACACAUGCAAGUCGAACGAGCGAGAGAGAGCUUGCUUUCUCGAGCGAGUGGCGAACGGGUGAGUAACGCGUGAGGAACCUGCCUCAAAGAGGGGGACAACAGUUGGAAACGACUGCUAAUACCGCAUAAGCCCACGACCCGGCAUCGGGUAGAGGGAAAAGGAGCAAUCCGCUUUGAGAUGGCCUCGCGUCCGAUUAGCUAGUUGG